AAUGCACCAAUUUGUAAGUCGCUCUGGAUAAGAGCGUCUGCUAAAUGACGUAUA
Salmo salar (Atlantic salmon) is the source of this 54-nucleotide non-coding RNA. Lineage: Eukaryota; Metazoa; Chordata; Actinopteri; Salmoniformes; Salmonidae. The record is from Rfam.